AGAGUUUGAUCCUGGCUCAGGACUAACGCUGGCGGCACGCCUAACACAUGCAAGUCGCACGAGAAACUUCGUAGCAAUACGGGGCGGUAAAGUGGCGAACGGGUGAGUAAUGCAUGGGUGACCUGUCCUCAAGAUGGGAAUAACCUCGCGAAAGCGGGGCUAAUACCCAAUGCCAUUCCGGUUUUACGGAAUCGGGAUGAAAGAUAGCUGUUACAGGCUUUCACUUGAGGAGGGGCCCAUGUCCCAUCAGCUUGUUGGUAGGGUAACGGCCUACCAAGGCUAUGACGGGUAGCUGGUCUGAGAGGACGACCAGCCACACUGGCACUGAGACACGGGCCAGACUCCUACGGGAGGCAGCAGUGAGGAAUCUUGCGCAAUGGACGAAAGUCUGACGCAGCGAUGCCGCGUGGGGGAUGAAGGCCUUCGGGUUGUAAACCCCUUUUAGUGGGAAAGAAACACCCGGAUGUUAACAGCGUCCGGGCUUGACGGUACCCACAGAAUAAGCCGCGGCUAACUCUGUGCCAGCAGCCGCGGUAAGACAGAGGUGGCAAGCGUUGUCCGGAAUUACUGGGCGUAAAGCGCGCGUAGGUGGCUAGAUAAGUCCGGUGUGAAAUCCUUCGGCUUAACCGGGGAAUGGCAUCGGGGACUGUUUAGCUAGAGGACGGGAGAGGAGAGCGGAAUUCCCGGUGUAGCGGUGAAAUGCGUAGAGAUCGGGAGGAAGGCCGGUGGCGAAGGCGGCUCUCUGGAACGUCCCUGACGCUGAGGCGCGAAAGCGUGGGGACAACAGGAUUAGAUACCCUAGUAGUCC
Molecule: ribosomal RNA, 808 nt
Filed under: uncultured bacterium
Lineage: Bacteria
Description: bacterial SSU rRNA
Rfam family: Bacterial small subunit ribosomal RNA
Source: RNAcentral